CCUACGGGAGGCAGCAGUGAGGAAUAUUGGUCAAUGGCCGUAAGGCUGAACCAGCCAAGUAGCGUGAGGGAAGACUGCCCUAUGGGUUGUAAACCUCUUUUAUGCGGGGAUAAAGGUGUCCACGUGUGGAUGUUUGCAGGUACCGCAUGAAUAAGGACCGGCUAAUUCCGUGCCAGCAGCCGCGGUAAUACGGAGGAUCCGAGCGUUAUCCGGAUUUAUUGGGUUUAAAGGGUGCGUAGGCGGCCUUUUAAGUCAGCGGUGAAAGUCUGUGGCUCAACCAUAGAAUUGCCGUUGAAACUGGGAGGCUUGAGUAUGUUUGAGGCAGGCGGAAUGCGUGGUGUAGCGGUGAAAUGCUUAGAUAUCACGCAGAACUCCGAUUGCGAAGGCAGCUCACUGGACUGCAACUGACACUGAUGCUCGAAAGUGUGGGUAUCAAACAGGAUUAGAUACCCUGGUAGUC
Molecule: ribosomal RNA, 460 nt
Filed under: uncultured bacterium
Lineage: Bacteria
Description: partial 16S ribosomal RNA
Rfam family: Bacterial small subunit ribosomal RNA
Source: RNAcentral